This 888-nucleotide long non-coding RNA is filed under the name Lepisosteus oculatus (spotted gar). RNAcentral describes it as "lncRNA (ENSLOCG00000022222.1)". Lineage: Eukaryota; Metazoa; Chordata; Actinopteri; Semionotiformes; Lepisosteidae. The record is from RNAcentral.
CUUCAAUCAGCCAGCCCUCCAAAGAGAGCUUUGCCCAGGUUUGCCAUUUUACUCCAUGUGAUAUAAGGAUACAAGAAGACCAGCACUUCAGUUUGGCUGCAGUUCUUUCCUUUGUGCAGCAUGGAAAUAACCCACAGAUUCAACAACAUGGCCAGGAAGAAAUCUUAUCUCAGAUUCUCUUCACCCAGCAAUAAAUCUUCUGUAAUGCAUUUUAUACAUUUUAAAACAAAGCACAGGCUACAGAUAAAUAUGAAUUAUUUUAAACAAAUACUGUAAAUAUGGUUAUCUUUGGAAAUCCUCCUUUAUCCAUCCUCAACUGAUGUAAAAAUGAUGUUUGAAUUAUAUAGAACCAGUAGUAAGUAAAUGACUUCUAAAACAGUGAGAUAUUGAAGUUAUUGUUACCACACUAUAAAAAAUGUAUGUUUAUCUUAUGUGAUGCUUAUGCUGUAAGCUUCUUUUUCUAUGAGUGAAAGCUGAGUGACAGUGAUGAUAGUAUAAUUUAGUGUGGGGAAAGAACCUCUCACCUUUUUCUUGUUCAGUAUCCGAUGCUGUGCCUUUUGCUUUCGAAAGAGUACAAAGAGCACACAAAAAUAACGGUGCUCUAACCCUUACUUAUCACUGUCAUGUCUCUCAAAAUAACAGACUUAUAUUGACCCCUUCCUAGUACUUUAUAAGCUUUUAGCAGUGCUGUUAAAUAUUACAUUCAAUUAAAGCCACAGCAAGUCUUUUACAUACAGUACUAGGCAGGGUAUUUUUAUUAGUUUGACACGCUUCAUAAUUUAUUGAUUGUAUGCCUUGUACAACCUCAGAGAAGAGGCAAUUUAAUAUAACUUACAAACAUAUAUGUAUAUUCUAAUGGCUUCAUCUAUGAAUUGGCUUCAUAUCUCU